This 808-nucleotide ribosomal RNA is filed under the name uncultured bacterium. RNAcentral describes it as "bacterial SSU rRNA". It matches the Rfam family "Bacterial small subunit ribosomal RNA", at positions 56 to 864 of the family's 1533-position model. The record is from RNAcentral.
UGCAAGUCGGACGGGAUUGAAGAGCUUGCUUUUCAUGAGAGUGGCGCACGGGUGCGUAACACGUAUGUAACCUACCCAUAUCAGGGGGAUAGCCUCUCGAAAGAGAGAUUAAGCCCGCAUAAAAUCACAGUACAGCAUUGUAUAAUGAUCAAAUAUUUAUAGGAUAUGGAUGGGCAUGCGGAACAUUAGCUAGUUGGUAAGGUAACGGCUUACCAAGGCUACGAUGUUUAGGGGAUCUGAGAGGAUGACCCCCCACACUGGUACUGAGACACGGACCAGACUCCUACGGGAGGCAGCAGUAAGGAAUAUUGGUCAAUGGGCGGAAGCCUGAACCAGCCAUGCCGCGUGCAGGAAGACGGCCCUAUGGGUUGUAAACUGCUUUUGCAGGGGAAUAAACCUACCAAUGUAUUGGUAGCUGAAUGUACUCUGAGAAUAAGGAUCGGCUAACUCCGUGCCAGCAGCCGCGGUAAUACGGAGGAUCCAAGCGUUAUCCGGAUUUAUUGGGUUUAAAGGGUGCGUAGGCGGCCUAUUAAGUCAGGGGUGAAAGACGGUAGCUUAACUAUCGCAGUGCCUUUGAUACUGAUGGGCUUGAAUGUACUUGAGGUAGGCGGAAUGUGACAAGUAGCGGUGAAAUGCAUAGAUAUGUCACAGAACACCAAUUGCGAAGGCAGCUUACUAAAGUAUGAUCGACGCUGAGGCACGAAAGCGUGGGGAUCAAACAGGAUUAGAUACCCUGGUAGUCCACGCCCUAAACGAUGAAUACUCGAUGUUGGCGAUAUACAGUCAGCGUCAAAGCGAAAGCGUUAAG